Chiroxiphia lanceolata (lance-tailed manakin) is the source of this 1260-nucleotide long non-coding RNA. RefSeq lists it as uncharacterized. The record is from RefSeq and is a predicted model, not a curated record. The transcript has 5 exons. NCBI's taxonomy places the organism in Eukaryota, Metazoa, Chordata, Aves, Passeriformes, Pipridae.
CGGCCGCGGAGCAGCCCGGCGGGUGUCACUUCUCGGGGCGGACUGGGGAGGUGUUGGGGGACAGGCGGAAUGAAAGGCUGUAAAGGGCGUAAAAGGCUCACCCGAAAGACCCACGAUACCGGCGGAGAGGAGAGAGAGGAUCGGGGCAGCACAUGAGAUGGGCAGGAAUGAGGUUUCUGUGUUGGCGAGGCAGGGGUGAGAAGGGAAGGGAAGCAGCAAACUGCCUGGCUUAUUUCGGGUGCUGAUGACGACCAAAUCCCAAACCCUUCUCUCAGGGAAAAGUCAGUUGAAUUUCGGUGUUUCUUCCGAGGCUGGGCUGUGGUUUGAGACUUAAGAACAGGUUGCAAGUACUCCCAGCUGUAGCGAGCAACAAAUGUCUCGAUUUGUUCUUGCUUUGGAAAGAAUAUUUGCUGACCAUCAAAAUGCAACAGUUGCUGCUUGUUUUGACCUUCUCUGUGGGGCAUGCUUCUUGCUUUUGAGAGUCCUGAAGUCACAAACUACCUGGCUGUGUCUUUGCAGGAGGCCAGUUUUACUUGGCAGGAGAAGGUUAUAGUUAAUAUCGGAAUGGUUAUCCUGACUACUGUCACUGGCCUAGGAGAUGCCUGGAAGAUGGUGAGUGCAUGGUGAUUCCUUCCUGGGAAGAUCUCCUUGUUCCAGGGAUAUGAAAUACCAGGAGGCCCUGAACCACACCCAGUGGCUGAAAUAUUUCACAGAUGUAAGAUGUGAUUCUUCAUUCCAGGAAACCCUAAAAGGAUGUUCCUUUGCAUGGAAGAAGGCGAAGAAACAGUGAAAAAGGAGAAGUCCACACAGGGAGAAAAACUAUUUUGUAUAGCAUAAUAACCUUGUCAGGAAACAGAAAACAAAGUCCUGCCCCAUCUCAAGCUGUGGAAAACCUUGAACUCAGAAGAAACAAUAAGCUCAAACCAUAUAAGAGAAAGCGACUCAAACUUUUGAUAUUAAAAAAGAGGAUCUGUAAUUCUGAAGUGAUUUGCAAAUCUGCAUUUAGGACCACUCAUCCAAGAUAAUGUGGAUUUUCCCAGCCGUUUGGAAGGUUGUAUAGUGUGAUCAUGCUAAGGAAUUCAUGCUGGAUUAAAAAUGUCUCCAAAGAAGAUGCCCCAUAUGAACUUCUAAUGGAUAUGUGGAGAGCAAUGUGUUCCUUGCAUGCUCUGUGGAAAAGCCUAUCAAGACUGAAGAUAUGAGAGAUUAAUUGAGGAAAGGUUUUGAGGGAAAGCACCAUGGUCAACUCAACAGCUGCAGAGC